This 20-nucleotide transfer RNA is filed under the name Fundulus zebrinus (plains killifish). Its description in RNAcentral is "partial tRNA-Glu". The record is from RNAcentral. Lineage: Eukaryota; Metazoa; Chordata; Actinopteri; Cyprinodontiformes; Fundulidae.
UAUUCAACUACAAGAACUUA